Molecule: ribosomal RNA, 452 nt
Filed under: uncultured bacterium
Lineage: Bacteria
Description: bacterial SSU rRNA
Rfam family: Bacterial small subunit ribosomal RNA
Source: RNAcentral
AACGAACGCUGGCGGCAGGCCUAACACAUGCAAGUCGAACGCUGUAGCAAUACAGAGUGGCAGACGGGUGAGUAACGCGUGGGAACCUUCCCAAUGGUACGGAAUAGCUCAGGGAAACUUGAGGUAAUACCGUAUAAGCCCCUAGGGGGAAAGAUUUAUCGCCAUUGGAUGGGCCCGCGUCGGAUUAGCUAGUUGGUGAGGUAAUGGCUCACCAAGGCGACGAUCCGUAGCUGGUUUGAGAGAAUGACCAGCCACACUGGGACUGAGACACGGCCCAGACUCCUACGGGAGGCAGCAGUGGGGAAUCUUGGACAAUGGGCGAAAGCCUGAUCCAGCCAUGCCGCGUGAGUGACGAAGGCCUUAGGGUUGUAAAGCUCUUUUGCCGGGGACGAUAAUGACGGUACCAGAAGAAGAAGCCCCGGCUAACUACGUGCCAGCAGCCGCAGUAACAC